GGGCGAUUGGCUCAGUGGGAGAGUGCUGCCUUCACACGGCAGAGGUCGCAGGUUCAAAUCCUGUAUCGCCCACCA
This 75-nucleotide transfer RNA is filed under the name Actinomycetota bacterium. RNAcentral's name for it is "tRNA-Val". It matches the Rfam family "tRNA". From Rfam's summary of the family: Transfer RNA (tRNA) molecules are approximately 80 nucleotides in length. Their secondary structure includes four short double-helical elements and three loops (D, anti-codon, and T loops). The record is from RNAcentral. Lineage: Bacteria; Bacillati; Actinomycetota.